GACGAACGCUGGCGGCGUGCUUAACACAUGCAAGUCGAACGAAGUGGCGAACGGGUGUGUAACGCGUAAUCAACCUGCCCUUCAGAGGGGGACAACAGUUGGAAACGACUGCUAAUACCCCAUACUUACUGUCGUGAUUUCUUCUGAUUAGGUAGUUGGAGGGGUAACGGGCCACCAAGGCGAUGAUCAGUAGCCGGGGUGAGAGGAGGAACGGCAGAAAUGGGAAUGAGACACGGCCCAGACGCGUAAGGGAGGCAGCAGUGGGGAAACGUCCGGAAUGGACGAAAGUCUGACGGAGCAACGCGGGGGGAGGGAUGACGGCCUUCGGGUUGUAAAGAUGUGUUAAGCGGGACGCGGGAAGGGAAAAGAAAGCGACGGCUAACUACGUGCCAGCAGACGCGGUAAUUG
RNAcentral lists this ribosomal RNA (408 nucleotides) under uncultured bacterium. RNAcentral's name for it is "partial 16S ribosomal RNA". It matches the Rfam family "Bacterial small subunit ribosomal RNA", at positions 28 to 527 of the family's 1533-position model. The record is from RNAcentral.